AAAAACGACCCGUUGGGAGAACGUUAGUGGCAACUCCAAGAGGAUAAAUAGUUGCAGAAGAGGGCAAGGAGAGCAGCAAUGGAAGCGCUCAAGGUGUGGAGUAUGUCUUCGAGGCCAUUCAGGCACUUAAUCUUCUUCGCUUCUCCGUUCACUUCUUCUUCUAUUUUCACCAAAUCCAGGUGCAUCCAUUCCUCCCCGGUCCUUCGCUGCUGCAACUCCUCCACCACUACCACUGGCGCUGCCCGAAACCGCCGUUCCUCCUCCUCAUCAUCUUCUUCCACUUCAGACCGAGAUGCUGUUCGCGCCAUUCGCCUCAAAAAGGUGGAAGAGCUGCGAAGCAAAGGCUUUGAACCCUAUGCUUAUAGUUGGGACAGAACUCAUACUUCUAGCCAACUGCAAGAUAUAUAUAAAAGUUUGGGGAAUGGUGAGGAGGCAAACAAAGAGAAUGAUACUGUAUCAAUAGCCGGAAGAAUUGUGGCUCGCAGAGCUUUUGGAAAGCUUGCAUUUUUAACACUAAGGGAUGACUCAGGGACCAUACAGCUCUAUUGUGAGAAGGAAAAGCUUUUAAAUGAGCAGUUUGAUCAAUUGAAGACAGUUGUUGACAUUGGCGAUAUACUCGGUGCUAGUGGCUCAAUUAAGCGGACAGAGAAAGGGGAGCUUUCUGUUUAUGUGAAAUCUUUUGCAAUUCUCACAAAGUCUCUACUUCCCCUCCCGGAUAAAUAUCAUGGCCUUACUGAUGUGGAUAAGAGAUAUCGCCAAAGGUAUAUUGAUAUGAUUGCGAACCCUGAAGUAGCUGAUACAUUUCGCAAAAGAGCAAAGAUAGUUUCAGAGAUACGGAAGACGGUGGAAUCAUUUGGUUUUGUUGAAGUUGAAACUCCAGUUCUACAGGGAGCAGCCGGAGGAGCAGAAGCUAGGCCAUUUGUUACAUAUCAUAAUUCUCUUGGAAGGCAGCUUUAUCUGAGAAUUGCAACUGAACUUCACUUAAAGAGAAUGUUGGUUGGGGGAUUUGAAAAGGUAUAUGAGAUCGGUCGGAUAUUCAGAAAUGAAGGCAUUUCAACUCGUCAUAAUCCUGAAUUUACCACUAUAGAGAUUUAUGAAGCAUAUUCAGACUACCAAAGCAUGAUGAACAUGGCAGAAGAAAUUGUUAUUCGAUGUGCGCUUGCAGUUCAAGGAAAGCUCAGCAUUGAUUACCAGGGGUUAGAGAUAAGUCUAGAGCGACCUUGGAGGAGGGAAACCAUGCACAAUCUUGUAAAAGAAGCAACGGGGAUUGAUUUCAGUGAGUUGGGCAAUGAUCUUAAAGUUGCUAAAGAUAUUACUUCGAGGACGCUUAGAAGUGGCCUUGAUAAAAAAGACUUAUCUGCCUUUGAUGCAUGCCCUUCUGUUGGCCACCUCCUCAAUGAGGUUUUUGAAAUUGUUGUAGAGCCAAAGCUUCUGCAACCUACAUUUGUUUUGGACUAUCCUGUUGAGAUAUCUCCUCUAGCCAAACCUCACAGAAGGCAUGCGGGUUUGACUGAAAGAUUUGAACUCUUCAUCUGUGGUCGGGAGAUGGCAAAUGCAUUCUCUGAAUUGACUGAUCCCUUGGAUCAGAGAGAACGCUUUGAAGAGCAAGUGAGGCAGCACAAUGAAAAGAGAGCAGCCACUGCUUCUGAAGCAGGUUGUAGUGAAGAGGAAAGAGAGAAAGAUGAGGACACCUCCUAUGAAGUGACCCUUGAUGAUGACUUUCUGACAGCCUUGGAAUAUGGAAUGCCCCCUGCUUCAGGAAUGUAUUUGAAACGUGAAGAAGUGGAGUCCGUUUACUAGUAAAAUACAAGAAGCUCCUAGCAUUGAAGAAUCGUUAGCAACUGUUUCAGAGGAAGCAAAAGAAAAUGUAGCAGCUGAGCCGGAGGCGCGCAAAAGCUUAAAAGUGGGGUCUUGAAAUUCUUUGAAUAAUUUCAACCAGACAACGGCUUCAUUUAAAUACUUUACCAGGAGUGAUGCUGGGCUGGAAUCAUCAAGAAAAAUUUUGUUCAUGAGGAUUUUGUUUUGCAAGAUCCACUGCCCUUCUUUCAUUUGCUUCUGCAAACCCUCUCCUCAUUUGUUUUCCAGUGCUGGGCCAUUGAAAUUGGAAAACAGCCCACAUGUGCCAGUUGCUGUUGAUAUCUGUAACCAUCAUGAAUGUGGUGAUACUGAUGGUGAGACUAUUGUGGCCAAUAAAGAUAUUGUUGAUGUAGAUGGAAAGCAACAGCAAGAACAACAGGUUGAGAAUUUUGUGAAAAGCAGUCUCAAGAAGGCAUCUUUGGAUUCCAAAGAGGUUCAAAAUAAGAGAGUGCAAUGGCCGGAUUUGUUGGGGAAAGAACUAGUUGAGAUCAAGGAAUUUGAACCUAGUGAAACAGAAGAUACAGACAAUGAAUACGAGAACAUUAGGGGCUGUGUUUGUAUAAUUCUUUGAUAUUCAGUUAAUGUCAUCUCCGAACAUUCCCAUACUAAUGCAAGCACGAGGUAGAUGGAAAAAUUAGGCGAUGCUCUUCCAUUCUUACGGAGAAUUCAACAGCUGCAUUGGAGUCUAAAUUCAAGUUCUCAUUUCCUUUGACUGGGGCAUUAUCAUCAACUCUUCUACAAAGACCUUUCCUGGAGAACUCAGUGAAGCAGAAUAGUUAUUUGUUGACUUCUUGCUAUGCAUUCGAAGCUACUGUUUCCUUUCUAAUGCACUGUAAACUUCUCAUUCAUUACAAGAUUUUGAAACUUCAUUGGAGUAGUCAUCUUUCAUGACAUGUUUCGCAUUAUUUUCUGCAGAAAGUGAUCCUUUCAGGGCUUCUUAUAAGACUAGCAAAAAUUUUCUUUAGCAUAAAUGAUACCAACUAUCAUUGUGAAGAGAUAUUGACAGGGAAUGUUAUACCAUUGUUUGCUUGGGGA
RNA transcript from Tripterygium wilfordii, 2892 nucleotides. It is a transcript of the gene named lysine--tRNA ligase, chloroplastic/mitochondrial-like, with no coding region annotated. NCBI's taxonomy places the organism in Eukaryota, Viridiplantae, Streptophyta, Magnoliopsida, Celastrales, Celastraceae. The transcript has 17 exons. The record is from RefSeq and is a predicted model, not a curated record.